Molecule: non-coding RNA, 1042 nt
Organism: Nerophis lumbriciformis (worm pipefish)
Lineage: Eukaryota; Metazoa; Chordata; Actinopteri; Syngnathiformes; Syngnathidae
Source: RefSeq, a predicted model, not a curated record
CGCCGAUCACCAAGAAUUUCUUGUUGGCCGACAACUUCCAAUCCAUCAUCCUCCUACUCGAGACCAUGUGUCUAGUGGGUCUACGGGGGGAGGCACUAGUCGUAUCCUCUACCAACUCGACACAUUCUGGAAUAGACAGGUGUUGUGGAGUAUCUGGGACGGAAGGCCUCUUGUGUGGCUUCCUUUUUAGUGCCCCAGGGAACAAAUGUGCCCAAUCGGGGGACUCCUGAGGAAGCAUCUCCUGAGGGGGCGUCUCCUGAGGAGGCGUCCGCUGCAAGGGUGAGUCCUCAUAGUCCACCAUAGGAGCCCCGGAAAGUGUGGGCCCCCGUGGUGAAAAUUCACCCUGUGGUGCCGUCUCAUCUGCCGUCCCAGGCUGGAGAGGGGACCAGUCGGGGGUCGCGGAAGAGUAACGAGGGGACAUCACCGAAGAAAGCCCCCGCUCCUGUUCUUCAUCCCGAAAGUCGAUCAGGAGAGGCGAGGAGGCCGUGGGUCCCCCUGGUGAUCCCAGAGGAAGCCUCCUGCGAGAUGCAGGAAUAAGCUGGGUGGGCGGAGCCUCGCCGAGGGUGUCCUGGGCAGGCCCGCUGUCCGUGGCCCGGGGCUGUGUCACCCUCUGCUCCUUGGGUGGUUCCGGUCGACGAGGAAGGAAGAUCGGGGCAACCCGUGCUGGAGGGAUUGCAUCCCGAUCCACCUCAGGAGACCAAUCUGGAGCCACGGCGUCGGUGCUGGUAGCCACCGAGACCCGGGCGACGACCCGAGCCGGAGGGCUGCUAGCCCGUACCACCCCAGGAGCCCCGUCAGGGCCCGUAGGGUCAGUAUGGGUGCCCACCGAUACCCGGGUGGCGGUCUGGACCGGCAAGGACUGGGCCGGGCGUACCACCUCCGCGUUGACAGGGGGGUCGGCGAAGGCCGCGACGAUCAGAGCCUCGGCCUUCCCGAGGGUGUCCCCCAUCAGUCUGCGUCCCAGAUGUUUCUUGGCCCAUGUAGAGGCCAGCUGAAAAGCGGGUCUCCAAACCUCGUCAAUAAAACUGGUUAUCUUGUCCAA